ACUUGGAUAACUGUGGUAAUUCUAGAGCUAAUACAUGCAKGACGAGCGCAUUUAUUAGACCAAAACCAAUUUUGGCGAAUCUGAAUAACUUCAGGUUUUAAACCGGCGAUGUAUCCUUCAAGUGUCUGCCUUAUCAACUUUCGAUGGUAGUUUAUGUGACUACCAUGGUUGCGACGGGUAACGGAGAAUUAGGGUUCGACUCCGGAGAGGGAGCCUGAGAAACGGCUACCACUUCUAAGGAAGGCAGCAGGCGCGCAAAUUACCCACUCUCGGAGAGGAGGUAGUGACGAAAAAUAACGAGAUAACCCGCUUUAUCAUCGGAAUGAGUACAAUAUAAAUCCUUUAACGAGGACCUAGCGGAGGGCAAGUCUG
This 372-nucleotide ribosomal RNA is filed under the name Daptonema sp. 6 LM-2017. RNAcentral describes it as "SSU rRNA". It matches the Rfam family "Eukaryotic small subunit ribosomal RNA", at positions 138 to 565 of the family's 1831-position model. Lineage: Eukaryota; Metazoa; Nematoda; Chromadorea; Monhysterida; Xyalidae. The record is from RNAcentral.